Molecule: transfer RNA, 71 nt
Filed under: Neotoma mexicana (Mexican woodrat)
Lineage: Eukaryota; Metazoa; Chordata; Mammalia; Rodentia; Cricetidae
Description: tRNA-Val
Rfam family: tRNA
About the family: Transfer RNA (tRNA) molecules are approximately 80 nucleotides in length. Their secondary structure includes four short double-helical elements and three loops (D, anti-codon, and T loops).
Source: RNAcentral
CAUAGAGUAGCUUAACAAAUUAAAGCAUCUGGCUUACACCCAGAAGAAUCCACAACCAAUGGACACUAUGA